GUAGGGAAUAUUGCGCAAUGGGGGAAACCCUGACGCAGCGACGCCGCGUGAGUGAUGAAGGCCUUCGGGUCGUAAAGCUCUGUUGCAGGGGAAUAAAAAAAUGAAGGUACCCUGUGAGGAAGGAUCGGCUAACUUCGUGCCAGCAGCCGCGGUAAGACGAGGGAUCCUAGCGUUGCUCGGAAUCAUUGGGCGUAAAGAGGGCGUAGGUGGCUUGGUAAGUCAGGUGUGAAAGCCCAGGGCUCAACCCUGGAAGUGCAUUUGAUACUGCUGAGCUUGAGUGUCGGAGAGGUUACCGGAAUACCUGGUGUAGCGGUGAAAUACGUAGAUAUCAGGUGGAACACCGGAGGCGAAGGCGGGUAACUGGACGAACACUGACACUGAGGCCCGAAAGCGUGGGGAUCAAACAGGAUUAGAAACCCGAGUAGUCC
RNAcentral lists this ribosomal RNA (428 nucleotides) under uncultured bacterium. RNAcentral's name for it is "partial 16S ribosomal RNA". It matches the Rfam family "Bacterial small subunit ribosomal RNA", at positions 354 to 796 of the family's 1533-position model. The record is from RNAcentral.